RNAcentral lists this ribosomal RNA (440 nucleotides) under uncultured Orientia sp. RNAcentral's name for it is "bacterial SSU rRNA". It matches the Rfam family "Bacterial small subunit ribosomal RNA", at positions 338 to 795 of the family's 1533-position model. The record is from RNAcentral. Lineage: Bacteria; Pseudomonadati; Pseudomonadota; Alphaproteobacteria; Rickettsiales; Rickettsiaceae.
CCUACGGGUGGCUGCAGUGGGGAAUAUUGGGCAAUGGGCGCAAGCCUGACCCAGCGAUGCCGCGUGAAUGAUGAAGGCCUUAGGGUUGUAAAAUUCUUUUAGUAGGGAAGAUAAUGACGGUACCUACAGAAAAAGCACCGGCUAACUUCGUGCCAGCAGCCGCGGUAAUACGAAGGGUGCUAGCGUUGUUCGGAUUUACUGGGCGUAAAACGCGUGCAGGUGGUUUAAUAAGUUGAAAGUGAAAUCCCGGGGCUCAACCUCGGAACUGCUUCCAAAACUGUUAAGCUAGAGUGCGGUAGAGGAUGACGGAAUUUCUAGUGUAGAGGUGAAAUUCUUAGAUAUUAGAAGGAACACCGAUGGCGAAGGCAGUCAUCUGGGCCGAUACUGACACUGAUACGCGAAAGCGUGGGGAGCAAACAGGAUUAGAUACCCUGGUAGUC